RNAcentral lists this ribosomal RNA (497 nucleotides) under uncultured bacterium. RNAcentral describes it as "partial 16S ribosomal RNA". It matches the Rfam family "Bacterial small subunit ribosomal RNA", at positions 28 to 507 of the family's 1533-position model. The record is from RNAcentral.
GAUGAACGCUGGCGGCGUGCCUAAUACAUGCAAGUCGAGCGAACGGACGAGAAGCUUGCUUCUCUGAUGUUAGCGGCGGAGGGGUGAGUAACACGUGGAUAACCUACCUAUAAGACUGGGAUCACUUCGGGAAACCGGCGCUAAUACCGGAUAAUAUUUUGAACCGCAUGGUUCAAAAGUGAAAGACGGUCUUGCUGUCAGUUAUAGAUGGUUCCGGGCUGCAUUAGCUAGUUGGUAAGGUAACGGCAUACCAAGGCAACACUGACUAGCCGACCUGAGAGGGUGAUCGUGCGCACUGGAGCUGAGACAGAGUCCAGACUCCUGCGGGACGCACCAGUGUCGCAUCGGCCCCAAUGGUCAGAAGCCUUACGCACCAACGCCCCGUGAGUGAUGAAGGUCUUCUGAUCGUAAAACUCUGUUAUUGGGGAAAAACCUAUUUGUAAGGAACUGUACACAUCUUAACGGUACCUAGUCAGAAAGCCACGGCUAACUACGUG